RNAcentral lists this transfer RNA (75 nucleotides) under Veillonella sp. RNAcentral's name for it is "tRNA-Thr". It matches the Rfam family "tRNA". From Rfam's summary of the family: Transfer RNA (tRNA) molecules are approximately 80 nucleotides in length. Their secondary structure includes four short double-helical elements and three loops (D, anti-codon, and T loops). Further hydrogen bonds mediate the characteristic L-shaped molecular structure. tRNAs have two regions of fundamental functional importance: the anti-codon, which is responsible for specific mRNA codon recognition, and the 3' end, to which the tRNAs corresponding amino acid is attached (by aminoacyl-tRNA synthetases). tRNAs cope with the degeneracy of the genetic code in two manners: having more than one tRNA (with a specific anti-codon) for a particular amino acid; and 'wobble' base-pairing, i.e. permitting non-standard base-pairing at the 3rd anti-codon position. RNAcentral also lists the same sequence under 1 other name. The record is from RNAcentral. Lineage: Bacteria; Bacillati; Bacillota; Negativicutes; Veillonellales; Veillonellaceae.
GCCACUUUAGUUUAAUGGCUAGAACGAGUGUCUUGUAAACAUUUGGUACUGGUUCGACUCCAGUAAGUGGCUCCA